RNAcentral lists this ribosomal RNA (428 nucleotides) under uncultured Haliangium sp. RNAcentral's name for it is "bacterial SSU rRNA". It matches the Rfam family "Bacterial small subunit ribosomal RNA", at positions 355 to 774 of the family's 1533-position model. Lineage: Bacteria; Pseudomonadati; Myxococcota; Haliangiales; Kofleriaceae. The record is from RNAcentral.
UGGGGAAUAUUGGGCAAUGGGCGAAAGCCUGACCCAGCCACGCCGCGUGAGUGAUGAAGGCCUUCGGGUCGUAAAGCUCUGUGGGGAGGGACGAACAAGCCUGUGGCUAAUAUCCACGGGCCCUGACGGUACCUCCUUAGCAAGCACCGGCUAACCCUGUGCCAGCAGCCGCGGUAAUACAGGGGGUGCAAACGUUGCUCGGAAUUAUUGGGCGUAAAGCGCACGUAGGCGGUCUGUUAUGUCGGAUGUGAAAGCCCUUGGCUCAACUGAGGAAGUGCAUCCGAAACUGGCAGGCUAGAGUACUAAAGAGGGUCGCGGAAUUCCCGGUGUAGAGGUGAAAUUCGUAGAUAUCGGGAGGAACACCGGUGGCGAAGGCGGCGACCUGGGUAGAUACUGACGCUGAGGUGCGAAAGCGUGGGGAGCAAACA